UACCGAGGGUGCAAGCGUUAAUCGGAAUUACUGGGCGUAAAGCGCGCGUAGGUGGUUUGUUAAGUUGGAUGUGAAAUCCCCGGGCUCAACCUGGGAACUGCAUUCAAAACUGACUGACUAGAGUGUGGUAGAGGGUGGUGGAAUUUCCUGUGGAGCGGUGAAAUGCGUAGAUACAGGAAGGUUUUUCUAAGGAGAAGGCGACCACCGAGAUCUACACUGACACUGAGGUGCGAAAGCGUGGGGAGCAAACAGG
RNAcentral lists this ribosomal RNA (253 nucleotides) under uncultured bacterium. RNAcentral's name for it is "partial 16S ribosomal RNA". It matches the Rfam family "Bacterial small subunit ribosomal RNA", at positions 524 to 776 of the family's 1533-position model. The record is from RNAcentral.